GUGGGGAAUUUUGGACAAUGGGCGCAAGCCUGAUCCAGCAAUGCCGCGUGCAGGAAGAAGGCCUUCGGGUUGUAAACUGCUUUUGUACGGAACGAAACGGUCCUGGUUAAUACCUGGGGCUAAUGACGGUACCGUAAGAAUAAGCACCGGCUAACUACGUGCCAGCAGCCGCGGUAAUACGUAGGGUGCGAGCGUUAAUCGGAAUUACUGGGCGUAAAGCGAGCGCAGGCGGUGCUGUAAGACGGGCGUGAAAUCCCCGGGCUCAACCUGGGAAUUGCGCUGGUGACUGCAGUGCUGGAGUACGGCAGAGGGGGAUGGAAUUCCGCGUGUAGCAGUGAAAUGCGUAGAUAUGCGGAGGAACACCGAUGGCGAAGGCAGUCCCCUGGGCCUGUACUGACGCUCAUGCACGAAAGCGUGGGGAGCAAACAGGAUUAGAAACCCUUGUAGUCC
RNAcentral lists this ribosomal RNA (450 nucleotides) under uncultured bacterium. RNAcentral's name for it is "partial 16S ribosomal RNA". It matches the Rfam family "Bacterial small subunit ribosomal RNA", at positions 354 to 796 of the family's 1533-position model. The record is from RNAcentral.